Non-coding RNA from Cricetulus griseus (Chinese hamster), 202 nucleotides. The record is from RefSeq and is a predicted model, not a curated record. NCBI's taxonomy places the organism in Eukaryota, Metazoa, Chordata, Mammalia, Rodentia, Cricetidae.
ACCAUGUGAUCCCAGGAAGAGAGGAUACAUAAGGCCAUCGCCCUCGGUCGUUUGUCUUUCUUCAAAUUUACUUUGUAAAUGAGAUGUGCCAGCCCAUACAUGGAAUGAAGAGAGCCCGCUCAGUGCACAGAUGGCAGUGACAGUGUUGGAAGAAUAGAAGGCCACGGCCUGGUUGAUAAUAAACACUUGGGAAGACAUAUCA